CAGUAGGCGCGGGAAUACAGAGGGUGCGAGCGUUAAUCGGAUUUACUGGGCGUAAAGCGUGCGUAGGCGGCUUCUUAAGUCGGAUGUGAAAUCCCUGAGCUUAACUUAGGAAUUGCAUUCGAUACUGGGAAGCUAGAGUAUGGGAGAGGAUGGUAGAAUUCCAGGUGUAGCGGUGAAAUGCGUAGAGAUCUGGAGGAAUACCGAUGGCGAAGGCAGCCAUCUGGCCUAAUACUGACGCUGAGGUACGAAAGCAUGGGGAGCAAACAGGAUUAGAUACCCCUGUAGUCCCUGUCUCUUAUAU
RNAcentral lists this ribosomal RNA (301 nucleotides) under uncultured bacterium. RNAcentral describes it as "partial 16S ribosomal RNA". It matches the Rfam family "Bacterial small subunit ribosomal RNA", at positions 509 to 809 of the family's 1533-position model. The record is from RNAcentral.